UGGGGAAUUUUGGACAAUGGGGGCAACCCUGAUCCAGCAAUGCCGCGUGAGUGAAGAAGGCCUUCGGGUUGUAAAGCUCUUUUGUCAGGGAAGAAACACCGGCUCUAACACAGUCCGGGAAUGACGGUACCUGAAGAAUAAGCACCGGCUAACUACGUGCCAGCAGCCGCGGUAAUACGUAGGGUGCGAGCGUUAAUCGGAAUUACUGGGCGUAAAGCGUGCGCAGGCGGGUAUACAAGACAGGCGGGG
Molecule: ribosomal RNA, 249 nt
Filed under: uncultured Polynucleobacter sp.
Lineage: Bacteria; Pseudomonadati; Pseudomonadota; Betaproteobacteria; Burkholderiales; Burkholderiaceae
Description: partial 16S ribosomal RNA
Rfam family: Bacterial small subunit ribosomal RNA
Source: RNAcentral